CCGGUUGUAGCUCUUACGUGAAAAUCUAAUUAAACUCUUUGUUCCCAUACGUGGAUUGUGUUUUGUAUUUGAAAGUCUUGGGGGAUGAGAAAAGCAUUAGCUGUUAUAUUUUUUCAGUUUUUUUUCUUUUUCCUCCAUUUUUCCCCCCCUUUUUUUGAGGGGACCGUUUUUGUUGAAGUUAACAUGUUCAUUACAUAGCCAAAUUUGUGUAUAUCUGUAUCUUAAAAUGAAUGGAAUGUUGGUGACUAAUGCAAAUACUGUUUUUUGGAGGGUAAGCCUUUUGAUGAAUCAAGA
Molecule: unclassified non-coding RNA, 294 nt
Filed under: Hevea brasiliensis (rubber tree)
Lineage: Eukaryota; Viridiplantae; Streptophyta; Magnoliopsida; Malpighiales; Euphorbiaceae
Source: RNAcentral